Pangasianodon hypophthalmus (striped catfish) is the source of this 676-nucleotide long non-coding RNA. RefSeq lists it as uncharacterized. The transcript is spliced from 3 exons. NCBI's taxonomy places the organism in Eukaryota, Metazoa, Chordata, Actinopteri, Siluriformes, Pangasiidae. The record is from RefSeq and is a predicted model, not a curated record.
AAGACAGUGAGGGAGGAAGUUAGAGAGAGAAAUAACAACACGUUCUGACCUUCCGGCCGCAGGAUCUCAGGGUUGCGUGUGACUGACGGCUGAGAUGUUUACACGGAGCGUAGGGAGAGAACACAAUCUCUCCUUCUCUCUCUGUCUUCUACACUUCCUCCUGGCUCUCUGACCUGCUUCCAGAAAUCAUAACGAUGACAAAUGGUGGACUUUCAGGGUCCGAACCCCUUUUCAAAGCUGUCGUGUGGAAUGUAGGUCAUCAACCCGAGAGACAGGAAAUGAGAUACGGAGAGAGAAAGAUUCACUGAGGCUGAAGAAGCCUAAUUUUGAAACUGAGUUUGGAAGAUGUGGAUUUUCUGACUGACUGAAUCACCCCUGCAGGCGCUCGUGAUCCGAGCAGACCUCGCCUACCUGAGCUGGGUAUUGUGGAGGUUCAAGCCUCAGCAACAUCAAGCUGACACUGUAGGGCCCUCGAGCAAGGCCUAACCCCAUCUCCUCCAGAGGCACCGUAUCACGGCUGAACCUGCACUCUGACCCCGACUUCCUAACAAGCUAGGACAUUCCUGACAUCAGAACCUGCCAGAGGAACUUGGUGGUGCUGAGAGAAGCUGUCAAUCAUCACUGCAGAUGUCGUGUGUGUGUGUGUGUGAGUGUGUGUGUGUGUGUGUGUGUGUGU